AGCAGCCGCGGUAAUUCCAGCUCCAAUAGCGUAUAUUAAAGUUGUUGCAGUUAAAAAGCUCGUAGUUGAAUUUCGGGAUCAAUAUGUUUGGUCGUGCCUCGGUACGUACUAGCUUAUUGGUUUCUCCUUUCUGAAGAACCAUGAUGUCAUUCAUUUGGUGUCGUGGGGAAUCAGGACUGUUACUUUGAAAAAAUUAGAGUGUUUAAAGCAGGCUCACGCUUGAAUACAUUAGCAUGGAAUAAUGAAAUAGGACGUUUGAUUCUAUUUUGUUGGUUUCUAGGAUCGACGUAAUGAUUAAUAGGGAUAGUUGGGGGCAUUAGUAUUCAAUUGUCAGAGGUGAAAUUCUUGGAUUUAUUGAAGACUAACUACUGCGAAAGCAUUUGCCAAGGAUGUUUUCAUUAAUCAAGAACGAAAGUUAGGGGAUCGAAGACGAUCAGAUACCGUCGUAGUCUUAACCAUAAACUAUGCCGACUAGGGAUCGGAUGAUGUUAAUUUUUUAAUGACUCAUUCGGCGCCUUACG
This 521-nucleotide ribosomal RNA is filed under the name uncultured Glomus. RNAcentral describes it as "SSU rRNA". It matches the Rfam family "Eukaryotic small subunit ribosomal RNA", at positions 569 to 1092 of the family's 1831-position model. The record is from RNAcentral. RNAcentral also lists the same sequence under 1 other name. Lineage: Eukaryota; Fungi; Glomeromycota; Glomeromycetes; Glomerales; Glomeraceae.